RNAcentral lists this ribosomal RNA (516 nucleotides) under Clostridioides difficile. RNAcentral describes it as "partial 23S ribosomal RNA". It matches the Rfam family "Bacterial large subunit ribosomal RNA", at positions 673 to 1189 of the family's 2925-position model. Lineage: Bacteria; Bacillati; Bacillota; Clostridia; Peptostreptococcales; Peptostreptococcaceae. The record is from RNAcentral.
GAAAGCGAGUUUUAACUGAGCGUUCAGUUACUUGACGUAGACCCGAAACCGGGCGACCUACCCAUGAGCAGGAUGAAGCGAAAGUAAAAUUUCGUGGAGGUCCGAACCCACGAGCGUUGAAAAGCUCGGGGAUGACUUGUGGGUAGCGGUGAAAUUCCAAUCGAGCCCGGAGAUAGCUGGUUCUCCCCGAAAUAGCUUUAGGGCUAGCCUCAAGGUGAGAGAUACGGAGGUAGAGCACUGAAUGUCCUAGGGGGUAUUGCACCUACCGAAGACUAUCAAACUCCGAAUGCCGUCAUCUUAUACUUGGGAGUCAGACUGUGGGUGAUAAGAUUCAUAGUCGAAAGGGCAACAGCCCAGAUCGUCAGCUAAGGUCCCUAAAUGUAAGUUAAGUGGUAAAGGAUGUGGGAUUGCACAGACAACCAGGAUGUUGGCUUAGAAGCAGCCACUCAUUCAAAGAGUGCGUAAUAGCUCACUGGUCGAGUGAUCCUGCGCCGAAGAUUUCCGGGGCUAAAACUU